CAGCCGCCGCGGGAAUACGAAGGGUGCAAGCGUUAAUCGGGAUUACUGGGCGUAAAGCGUGCGUAGGUGGUGAGUUAAGUCUGCUGUGAAAUCCCCGGGCUCAACCUGGGAAUGGCAGUGGAUACUGGCUCGCUAGAGUGUGUCAGAGGAUGGUGGAAUUCCCGGUGUAGCGGUGAAAUGCGUAGAGAUCGGGAGGAACAUCAGUGGCGAAGGCGGCCAUCUGGGACAACACUGACGCUGAGGCACGAGAGCGUGGGGAGCAAACAGGAUUAGAUACCCCGGUAGUCCCUGUCUCUUAUAC
RNAcentral lists this ribosomal RNA (301 nucleotides) under uncultured bacterium. RNAcentral describes it as "partial 16S ribosomal RNA". It matches the Rfam family "Bacterial small subunit ribosomal RNA", at positions 509 to 807 of the family's 1533-position model. The record is from RNAcentral.